CUGAAUUGGAUAAUUUGGCUCUAGUAAAAUUGGAACGGUACAGAUAUUAGCGUGGCCCCUGUGCAAGGAUGACACCCAAAUCCAUGAAGCGUUCCAUAUUUUU
Small nuclear RNA from Fukomys damarensis (Damara mole-rat), 103 nucleotides. The record is from Ensembl. NCBI's taxonomy places the organism in Eukaryota, Metazoa, Chordata, Mammalia, Rodentia, Bathyergidae.